AUUUGCUGCACUAAUUUAGCCCUUAAUUAAAAUUCUAACGCAGAUUUUGGCAGCUGGAAAUAGAACAGUGCAAUUAGGAAUGCUCCAAAUAUAGCACCAGCUUUUUUUUUUCUUUCCAUGCUACCCUAACUCCUUGCAGUGGGAACAGCCUCAUCUUUUUCCAUGUGUCUUGAUACUCAGGAAAAUGAGUACUACAGGAUAUAAUUGAUUGGGACCCAUUGAAUGAAUAGAGUUGAUGCCAGCUGAAAGUCAACCAGCCAGCUGAAAAGCUGUGACAUUUUCUUACCCCUAUCAACAGUUCCGCUGCUGUAAGCAGAACUCAGGUCAACCUACAAAACCAUUAAAGCAGCAAAUCACCCUUCCGUUCUUCCUGCCACUAGACAAGAAAUCAAACCUCAAAAGACAUUGAUUUUUUUUUUUUUAUUUAUAUAAAAAAAAAACCACCCUUUUUUUAGUUUUUUAGGUUUUUUGUUUAAGGCUAUAAACUGUUGACAUAGAGUUGGCUAUUUUGUAGGGAGAAGGGGUUAAGUUUCUUGGAGGAUGCUAAAGGGCUUAGAUUUUUUCAUUGCCUCCUGUAUACGCCUUUCAGCAGAGAUAGUGCUCUACAUGAAGGGGCGAUGUAAUGAUGCAAUGUAAAUUAAGCUAAGUGAUUAAGAACAUCCAGCACUUCAUAAUGUCAGAUACAUGGCUAUCUGCACAAGGCUUCCGUACUAAUACAGUUACAUUAGUUUAUAAAAGAUGCUAUCCUGAUGUGGCCUCUUUCAGAAAAUUCAAUUUCCUUAUAUAUGUGCAACAGAGUUUCAAUGAUUAAGUGAUACAUGUUUCCUGAGCCAAUAUGGUUAAAACAGUAAGAGAAUGCCAUAGAGGUAAUGUAAGAAGAUCAGUGCUUAUCUCCAUCACUACAAUCUUUACAUCAUCGGGCCAGGUUAGAGGGAAGAGUGUUAAGAAGUCUCAUUGCUAUUCUUAUUUGUAUAACCAUGUAAACUGGGAAGUUUGUUUCACUUACUGUGGAUUUCAUUCUAAGACCUGGUCUAGUCACAACAAUUUCAAAGAGAUCAGACAUCAGAAAACAUUAUUGACCCUAUAAAAUUUCUAUCAACACAGAAAAGUGGUAACAUUAACAGAGAUUCUUGAGAUUUGUUUUCCUCAUGCAGAAACACAUGGUGACUAGAGUGAAUGUUGUGCCUUCCUGACAGCACUCCCAUUGUCUAACUGCAUUUUUUAUUUUCCUGUUUUAUUGUUAUUCCCAGGAAAUCCACAUGGCACCUUAUCGUUUAUUUUUAAUCUAUGCCGUAAAGGAUUUGUUGUUAAACAAGCCCCCACUCUCUCCAGGGUAAAAUAUUUGAAGGUGUCCUGGAAACUCCACAAAAAUGCCGGCUUUGCCAUCUGGUGGACAUCCACCAGAACAGCAAGUAACCUUCGACCGGGAGGGACAAGUCGUUUCGUUUCCCUAAAUGCGGCAUCACCACGAGUAGGAACCACUGCUGCAAAAACAUUAGGCGGAGCAUCUGUAGCAAUUAAAGUGGGAAUGUAAGCCAUGGGAAAGGUGAGAGAACAAAAGUCAUAAACCCCUGUUAUUUGCAACAUAUGGGCAUCAUUAAAAAAAGGUUGAAAGGUAAUUAAAGAAGCUAUAAUGACAAUAAAUUGUGUUUAUCUUGUAAUAAAAAUUUAGACAUCACUUUCCCUUGUAUCAUUCAUUCAUUCUGAUUCCCAGUCUCUUCUCUGUUCUCCCCAGUUCUUUACCUGUCCCUCCCAGAAUUUCCCCUAUCCCGAUUUUCUCCUUUUUCCCCUUGCCCCAUUUGUUCAUUCUUAAAUGCUUCUGCCCCUUUUGCAUAUCCUCUCCAUCCUCUCUUUUGCUUUGAUGCUCUGGUAAUCUCCUAUGUUUUUCUAUUUGACUUUGCUUCCUGUAGAUUUGUCAGAAGCCACAUAUUCCUUGAAAUUUCUCCUGGAGCUUUCUGUUCAUAUUUUUUAUAACCUUAUUUCCUUGCUCCCAGGUACUAGCUGGGAACACAUGUUUCUGAGUUCUCCAUGCUGUUUCCCCAUUAUCCAGGCCAAAUGCCACAGAUGAGUAUUACCUUUGCUGAAACCUUUGCCUGGAAGGCUCACUAAUGCUGUUUAUUUUCUGUAAUCAGUUGCUUGUUUUUAUGAAUUUUCUAAGAGCUUAAUAUCCCUGAAUAAAAAUGAAUUGAAAUUGGACAGCAGGUUGGAGAUGGGUAGAGACAAACAAAUAUACGUCCACAUAGCGUGGUUGCUUGAAAAUUAUCAAAUAAGUAUCAUUCUGUCUGCCUUCAGAAUCUGAAAGCACCUGUGCUUUUCCUCAUAAAAGCAGAAACUAAUGUCUCAUGGGGGGUGGGGGGGGGUGGGGGGGGAAGGGAGAGGGAGAGAAAUGCACAUGACGCUGUCCUCACUGAAAAGCAGUUACAGCAGAAUUCAUGCCAAAUUGAUUUUGUGCUUGUCCCCAAAACCAGAAGGGACGCAUCGAAGGCUGAGGAGACUGAUGCUGUGGGGAGAGUGAGGGAACGUGAUGCUCAGUGGGAUAGUGUCUAAGUUGUGAUAGGUAUUUAUUUAGCACUCAGCAUAGGGGUCUAAAACUGAAGUCUGUCAGAUCUACAAAAAUGUAAACAGCAGUGAUUAGUGUGGUGAGAAGACUACAGUUGUACCUCUGUAAAAAUAGUGCCCUUUUAGGAUGUUCAAGCCUCUCAGUUUAUUUAGGUAAGAUAAUAGAAUCCUGCAGUUAGAAUGUGAACUUCAAACUCUUAGCUGAUCUCUUUCCCAGGGAUAGCUCACAAGUGAAUUGGGUGGUUCCAUUUUAUGCAUUUUUUUUCUGUCAAUAAUGAGUAUCUGUCAUAAUACUGGGGGAGUUCCCACAGUCAUUUGAACCCUGUUUGUUUAUUGUGGCUUACAAAGACAGUGAAGUCACAGGGAUGUGUUUUAAAAUGCACUCUUAGCUGAACUAAAGCUGAUACAUAAAAGCAGAGUAACAAAUCAUGGCUGUAAUUUUUUAGUUCACAGAUAUGCACCUGGCACUGCAGAAAUUGCAGAAGUCACCUAGCAAAACAGUGUUAAGUUUUGUAGGUGUUACAAGCAUGCAAGUAUAUUGUGGGAUGGCUCUGCAUUGCUUUACAUCCCUGGCUUGGUUCUCAGGCAAGGUCAGCCCUUUUCGCCGUGUCCUCAUAGGAUUUAACAUGACAAAGAGAAACAGCAUGUUUUGCAAAAUGCAGAGCCCAAUUUCAAGGACCAUACCAUCCUUGAGUAUUCAGAAUUGGACACAGCAUCCCAUCUGUAGCACAGAGAGCUUCAAGGAGAGCUGAAGAAUUACUUAAUGGUUUUGUAGGUGGUAACACUGUCUAUAAAUUGCAAUAAGGGUUUGCCUUUUUUACAGGAGUGUAACAUUGUUUACUCCUGUUCAGCCUAUGAUCUAUGUUAAUAUCCAAAUCUUUUUCUGUGAUGUUCUUACAUAGCUUGGCAUUCCUCACCUUAUGUUUUUGCAGUUUAUUAUUCUUGCCUAAGUGUGGCAACCUAUUUGUUUUUAUUGAGUUGCCUCAACUCCUCCUGAAGUUGUUCCACAAUAUAUACCUGUUGUGUUUGAUUGGCAAAAAUACCUACCCACAGUAACUGUGAGUAAACCAAUGUGUAUUUAAAAAGAAGCUGCUCUAUUCUCUAGAGAGAAGUCUAACAAAUUAAAUAUUCACAUCUUUUUUAUUGAA
Long non-coding RNA from Pezoporus occidentalis (night parrot), 3707 nucleotides. RefSeq lists it as uncharacterized. The transcript is spliced from 2 exons. The record is from RefSeq and is a predicted model, not a curated record. NCBI's taxonomy places the organism in Eukaryota, Metazoa, Chordata, Aves, Psittaciformes, Psittacidae.